This 194-nucleotide ribosomal RNA is filed under the name uncultured bacterium. Its description in RNAcentral is "partial 16S ribosomal RNA". It matches the Rfam family "Bacterial small subunit ribosomal RNA", at positions 338 to 524 of the family's 1533-position model. The record is from RNAcentral.
CCUACGGGAGGCAGCAGUGGGGAAUAUUGCACAAUGGGCGCAAGCCUGAUGCAGCCAUGCCGCGUGUAUGAAGAAGGCCUUCGGGUUGUAAAGUACUUUCAGUCGUGAGGAAGGCGGCGUCGUUAAUAGCGGCAUCGUUUGACGUUAGCGACAGAAGAAGCACCGGCUAACUCCGUGCCAGCAGCCGCGGUAAU